RNAcentral lists this ribosomal RNA (1246 nucleotides) under metagenome. Its description in RNAcentral is "bacterial LSU rRNA". It matches the Rfam family "Bacterial large subunit ribosomal RNA", at positions 1695 to 2925 of the family's 2925-position model. The record is from RNAcentral.
AAAACCUUCGUUAAGGAAUUAGGCAACAUGACUCCGUAACUUCGGGAUAAGGAGUGCCGCAGUAGAGUAAGGCAUCUAACGAGGCUGAGCUCGAGACGGCCGCAGAGAAGUGGCCCUACCGACUGUUUACCAAAAUCACAGGUCUCUGCAAACGCGUAAGCGGAAGUAUAGGGGCUGACGCCUGCCCAGUGCCGGAAGGUUAAAGGGAGAGGUUAGCGCAAGCGAAGCUUUGAACUGAAGCCCCGGUGAACGGCGGCCGUAACUAUAACGGUCCUAAGGUAGCGAAAUUCCUUGUCGGGUAAGUUCCGACCCGCACGAAUGGCGUAACGAGUGGGGCACUGUCUCGACGAAGGACCCGGUGAAAUUGAAAUAGGCGUGAAGAUGCGUCUUACCCGCAGCAGGACAAAAAGACCCCGUGGAGCUUUACUGUAGCCUGGCAUUGUGUUAGGGCUGAGUCUGUGUAGGAUAGCUGGGAGACUGGGAAACUGGAGCGCUAGCUUCGGUGGAGUCGUCCUUGGAAUACCAGCCUGAUUCAGUUUUGACCCUAACCUGCGACCCUGAUCGGGCGUGGGGACAGUACCAGGUGGGCAGUUUGACUGGGGCGGUCGCCUCCUAAAAGGUAACCGAGGCGCCCAAAGGUUCCCUCAGGCUGAAUGGAAACCAGCCGCAGAGUGCAAAGGCAUAAGGGAGCUUGACUGCGAGACCUACAAGUCGAGCAGAGACGAAAGUCGGGCUUAGUGAUCCUACGGCUCCGAGUGGAAGGGCCGUGGCUUAACGGACAAAAGCUACCCCGGGGAUAACAGGCUGGUGGUGCCCAAGAGUUCACAUCGACGGCACCGCUCGGCACCUCGAUGUCGGCUCGUCGCAUCCUGGGGCUGAAGUAGGUCCCAAGGGUUGGGCUGUUCGCCCAUUAAAGCGGUACGCGAGCUGGGUUCAGACCGUCGUGAGACAGGUCGGUCUCUAUCCGCUGUGGGCGUAGGGGAUUUGAGGGGAGCUGCUCCUAGUACGAGAGGACCGGAGUGGACCAACCGCUGGUGUGCCAGUUGUCUCGCCAGAGGCAUAGCUGGGUAGCUAAGUUGGGCAGGGAUAACCGCUGAAAGCAUCUAAGUGGGAAGCUUGCCCCAAGAUGAGAUCCCCCAUAGCAUAAGCUAGUAAGUGCGCUGGAAGACUACCAGCUUGAUAGGCGGCAGGUGUACGCACAGCAAUGUGUUGAGCUAAGCCGUACUAAUGCACGAGGGCUUAAUUC